AUACUUACCUGGUGCUGGGUCGGUGGUCAUCAUUGAGGCCGCGGCCCCGUGCGGAGCCCUCUCCUAUGCACGGCGGUUGGCUGAAGGCCGCCACUUCCCCAGGUCGGGGUAGCUGGAGCAUGCAAUUUUUGGUAGUGGGGCUAGGAGUGCGCACCCGACCGCA
This 163-nucleotide small nuclear RNA is filed under the name Dermacentor andersoni. RNAcentral describes it as "U1 spliceosomal RNA". It matches the Rfam family "U1 spliceosomal RNA". From Rfam's summary of the family: U1 is a small nuclear RNA (snRNA) component of the spliceosome (involved in pre-mRNA splicing). Its 5' end forms complementary base pairs with the 5' splice junction, thus defining the 5' donor site of an intron. There are significant differences in sequence and secondary structure between metazoan and yeast U1 snRNAs, the latter being much longer (568 nucleotides as compared to 164 nucleotides in human). Lineage: Eukaryota; Metazoa; Arthropoda; Arachnida; Ixodida; Ixodidae. The record is from RNAcentral.